Molecule: ribosomal RNA, 613 nt
Filed under: Streptomyces sp. ANA105
Lineage: Bacteria; Bacillati; Actinomycetota; Actinomycetes; Kitasatosporales; Streptomycetaceae
Description: bacterial SSU rRNA
Rfam family: Bacterial small subunit ribosomal RNA
Source: RNAcentral
AACCUCCUUCGGGAGGGGAUUAGUGGCGAACGGGUGAGUAACACGUGGGCAAUCUGCCCUUCACUCUGGGACAAGCCCUGGAAACGGGGUCUAAUACCGGAUACGAGCCUGAGAGGCAUCUCUCGGGUUGGAACGCCCCCUCUGGUGAAGGAUGAGCCCGCGGCCUAUCAGCUUGUUGGUGAGGUAAUGGCUCACCAAGGCGACGACGGGUAGCCGGCCUGAGAGGGCGACCGGCCACACUGGGACUGAGACACGGCCCAGACUCCUACGGGAGGCAGCAGUGGGGAAUAUUGCACAAUGGGCGAAAGCCUGAUGCAGCGACGCCGCGUGAGGGAUGACGGCCUUCGGGUUGUAAACCUCUUUCAGCAGGGAAGAAGCGAGAGUGACGGUACCUGCAGAAGAAGCGCCGGCUAACUACGUGCCAGCAGCCGCGGUAAUACGUAGGGCGCAAGCGUUGUCCGGAAUUAUUGGGCGUAAAGAGCUCGUAGGCGGCUUGUCACGUCGAUUGUGAAAGCCCGAGGCUUAACCUCGGGUCUGCAGUCGAUACGGGCUAGCUAGAGUGUGGUAGGGGAGAUCGGAAUUCCUGGUGUAGCGGUGAAAUGCGCAGAUAUCA